UGUUUGAAGCCUUUAGAAAACGUAAAAUCAGGUUCUGUGAUCCACACACCUCUGCUUAAAAGCAGCAUUUUACAUAAUUCAAUUGUCCCAAUUUGAUCCUCAAGUUUCAUUUAAGCUGUAAUGAUAACCUUCCAUCAAGUACCGAUAGGAAAAACAUACUAGUACUAGAAGGAAAUGGUCACGUGACAGAACACCAAGAAAGUAGGGUUGUUGCAUCAACUAGCUCAAAACUACUCCUAUUCAAAGGUUGUUAGGUCACGAUGAUUUUGCAAGGGCACGACGCAUGAGAGAGAAAGUCAUGCAUGAAAUAUAAAAGUGAAGGCAAGGAACUGCACAACUGCUAUUGUCUAGAGCUAUAUUCAUUAUACAAAGGUACUUGUCAUCUAUAUAUACAACCAAAUUAAAUGUGAACUCUUUUCUCUCAUUUCCAUCUACUUGUACAUAUUUACAACUUAUUCCAUCUCAUCAUAAAUAUCGAAACAAUACAGCAUCACCACAAUAAAAAAUAAAAUAAAAUAA
Rhododendron vialii is the source of this 519-nucleotide long non-coding RNA. RefSeq lists it as uncharacterized. Lineage: Eukaryota; Viridiplantae; Streptophyta; Magnoliopsida; Ericales; Ericaceae. The transcript is spliced from 2 exons. The record is from RefSeq and is a predicted model, not a curated record.